RNAcentral lists this ribosomal RNA (427 nucleotides) under uncultured prokaryote. RNAcentral's name for it is "bacterial SSU rRNA". It matches the Rfam family "Bacterial small subunit ribosomal RNA", at positions 355 to 774 of the family's 1533-position model. The record is from RNAcentral.
UAGGGAAUCCUCGGCAAUGGACGAAAGUCUGACCGAGCAACGCCGCGUGAGUGAAGAAGGUUUUCGGAUCGUAAAACUCUGUUGUUAGAGAAGAAUGUUGAUUAGAGUGGAAAAUUAAUCAAGUGACGGUAUCUAACCAGACAGGGUCGGCUAACUACGUGCCAGCAGCCGCGGUAAUACGUAGGUCCCGAGCGUUGUCCGGAUUUAUUGGGCGUAAAGCGAGCGCAGGUGGUUUAAUAAGUCUGAUGUAAAAGGCAGUGGCUCAACCAUUGUGUGCAUUGGAAACUGUUAGACUUGAGUGCAGUAGAGGAGAGUGGAAUUCCAUGUGUAGCGGUGAAAUGCGUAGAGAUAUGGAGGAGCACCGGUGGCGAAAGCGGCUCUCUGGACUGUCACUGAUACUGAGGCUCGAAAGCGUGGGUAGCAAACA